ACUCAAAGGAAUAGACGGGGACCCGCACAAGCGGUGGAGCAUGUGGAUUAAUUCGAUACUAACCGAAGAACCUUACCCAGGUUUGACAUCGAUCGUAAGCUCAAGAGAUUGGGCCCUCCCCCACAAGGGGACGUGAAGACACUUGUUGCAUGGCUGUCGUCAGCUCGUGCCGUGAGGUGUACGGUUAAGUCCGCCAACGAGCGCAACCCUCGUCCUGUGUUACCAGCAAGUAAAGUUGGGGACUCACAGGAGACCGCCGGUGUAAGCCGGAGGAAGGUGAGGAUGACGUCAAGUCAGCAUGGCAGUUACGCCUGGGGCUUCACACAUGCUACAAUGGGCGAAACAAUGGGCAGCGAUACCGCGAGGUGGAGCCAAUCCCAAAAAUACGCCCCCAGUUCAGAUUGCAGUCUGCAACUCGACUGCAUGAAGGCGGAAUCGCUAGUAAACGCAGGUCAGCUAUACUGCGUUGAAUACGUUCCCGGGUCUUGCACACACCGCCCGU
This 502-nucleotide ribosomal RNA is filed under the name uncultured bacterium. RNAcentral's name for it is "partial 16S ribosomal RNA". It matches the Rfam family "Bacterial small subunit ribosomal RNA", at positions 899 to 1397 of the family's 1533-position model. The record is from RNAcentral.